This 378-nucleotide ribosomal RNA is filed under the name uncultured eukaryote. RNAcentral describes it as "partial 18S ribosomal RNA". It matches the Rfam family "Eukaryotic small subunit ribosomal RNA", at positions 592 to 976 of the family's 1831-position model. The record is from RNAcentral.
CAAUAGCGUAUAUUAAAGUUGUUGCAGUUAAAAAGCUCGUAGUUGGAUUUGUGGUUCGUCCCGCCGGCUGGGUCAUUGACUUUUGCUGUGCUGGUCGUCCAUCCUUGGGUGGAAUCUGUGUGGCAUUAGGUUGUCGCGCAGGGGAUGCCCAUCGUUUACUGUGAAAAAAUUAGAGUGUUCAAAGCAGGCUUAUGCCGUUGAAUAUAUUAGCAUGGAAUAAUGAUAUAGGACCUUGGUACUAUUUUAUUGGUUUGCGCACUGAGGUAAUGAUUAGUAGGGACAGUUGGGGGUAUUCGUAUUCCAUUGUAAGAGGUGAAAUUCUUGGAUUUUUGGAAGACGAACUACUGCGAAAGCAUUUACCAAGGAUGUUUUCAUUAA